This 881-nucleotide non-coding RNA is filed under the name Doryrhamphus japonicus. Its description in RNAcentral is "partial 12S ribosomal RNA". It matches the Rfam family "Bacterial small subunit ribosomal RNA", at positions 324 to 1527 of the family's 1533-position model. The record is from RNAcentral. Lineage: Eukaryota; Metazoa; Chordata; Actinopteri; Syngnathiformes; Syngnathidae.
ACACCCGUGAGAAUGCCCUUGAAGCUCUUUUGAGAUCAAGGAGCCGGUAUCAGGCACACAUUAUGUCGCCCAUUACACCUUGCUUAGCCACACCCCCAAGGGAAUUCAGCAGUGAUUAACAUUAAGCAAUAAGUGAAAACUUGACUCAGUUAAAGCUAAUUAGGGUCGGUAAAAUUCGUGCCAGCCACCGCGGUUAUACGAAAGACCCAAGCUGACAGGAGCCGGCGUAAAGAGUGGUUAGGCAUAAAAACAACUAAGGUUGAACAUCUUCUUGGCCGUUUAACGCAUUUGAAGACAAGAAACACCAUCACGAAAGUAACCUUAAAUAUCUGACUCCACGAAAGCUAUGGAACAAACUGGGAUUAGAUACCCCACUAUGCAUAGCCGUAAACAUAGAUACCACCAUACACCUACCAUCCGCCUGGGUACUAUAAGCAUAAGCUCGAAACCCAAAGGACCUGGCGGUGCUUUAAAACCACCUAGAGGAGCCUGUUCUAGAACUGAUAAUCCCCACUCAACCUCACCCUUCCUUGCCAAUACCGCCUAUAUACCGCCGUCGUCAGCUUACCCUAUGAAGGCACAACAGUGAGCAAAAUCGGUACAACCUAAAACGUCAGGUCGAGGUGUAGUGAAUGGAAGGGGAAGAAAUGGGCUACAUUUGUUUAUUAACACACUACGGAUUACAUGUUGAAAUACAUUUUUGAAGGAGGAUUUAGCAGUAAGGAGAAAAUAGAAUAUUCCCCUGAAACCGGCUCUAAAGCACGCACACACCGCCCGUCACUCUCCCCUCGCAUACAAACAAACUAAAUAAACAAACAACCAGCUAAAGGGGAGGCAAGUCGUAACAAGGUAAGUGUACCGGAAGGUGCACUUGGAAAAAC